RNAcentral lists this ribosomal RNA (266 nucleotides) under uncultured bacterium. RNAcentral describes it as "partial 16S ribosomal RNA". It matches the Rfam family "Bacterial small subunit ribosomal RNA", at positions 57 to 305 of the family's 1533-position model. The record is from RNAcentral.
GCAAGUCGAGCGAGAACAGAGACUUCGGUCUCUUAGUAAAGCGGCGGACGGGUGAGUAACACGUGGGUAAUCUGCCCCUCGGCGGGGGACAACAGGUCGAAAGACCUGCUAAUACCGCAUACGCUUCUUGGAGCUUCGGUUCUAAGAAGGAAAGGUGGCCUCUAUUUAUAAGCUAUCACCGAGGGAGGAGCCCGCGUCGCAUCAGCUUGAUGGUGGGGUAAUGGCCUACCAUGGCAAAGACGCGUAGCUGGUCUGAGAGGAUGAUC